This 343-nucleotide unclassified non-coding RNA is filed under the name soil metagenome. Its description in RNAcentral is "partial contains 5.8S ribosomal RNA, internal transcribed spacer 2, and large subunit ribosomal RNA". The stretch from base 1 to 120 matches the Rfam family "5.8S ribosomal RNA", at positions 35 to 154 of the family's 154-position model. The record is from RNAcentral.
GAUGAAGAACGCAGCGAAAUGCGAUAAGUAAUGUGAAUUGCAGAAUUCAGUGAAUCAUCGAAUCUUUGAACGCACAUUGCGCCCGCUAGUAUUCUGGCGGGCAUGCCUGUCCGAGCGUCAUUUCAACCCUCAAGCCCCCGGGCUUGGUGUUGGGGAUCGGCGAGCCUCCGCGCCCGCCGUCCCCUAAAUCUAGUGGCGGUCUCGCUGUAGCUUCCUCUGCGUAGUAGCACACCUCGCACUGGGAAACAGCGCGGCCACGCAGUUAAACCCCCAACUUCUGAACGUUUGACCUCGGAUCAGGUAGGAAUACCCGCUGAACUUAAGCAUAUCAAUAAGCGGAGGA